CUCUCAGACACCACAGUCCAGGAGAGUCUGACAAGGUGGCUUUAUUCCUGAAACUCAGGGACCUGAUCCAACGCGCUGGAAAUUGUGUUUCUUUUCCCAGCUCAGGCUAUUCACCUCAGGCCCCUGUUUUCCUGUCUCCUCCCCAGGAAGGUUGUGAUAAAAAUCAAUGACAUCAUGUCUCACUGGGCCCCAGCCACCCUUCAGGAAGCAGGUGCUUUGGCUGAGUGGAGGCUGGGGCAUUUUUCUGCUGCGCUGGCCUGCAUCUGCCUUUCGAGUAGCCCUAGAGGCCUAACGCUUGAGGUCACCUUCAUGGUUUUUCCAGUGACCUUGGCCAUUAAUGAGCUCCCACCGCUUCCCCAGCUGCAGCUGUAUUAUAGCGCCAGAGUCUUCCAAGCCUGCAGGUUGUGCCAAGCCUGGAGGGAUUUGCAAAAGAAACAUUUGCCUACACCAAGAUCAUGAAGAUGUUUUCUUCUAGAGGAUUUCUAGUUUUAGCUCUUUAUGUUUAAAUUGAGGGAAACUAAAUGUAUGGCCUUAAGGAGCUGUUCCAGCCUGAGACUAUACACCAGCAGAAAGAAACUCACAGCACUGAAAAUAUUGUUCUCCGCCCUCCCUCAUCCCUCUUCCUUCUGAAUGGGAAAAAAGAGUAAGAAGCUUUUCCCUCCAGCUGAAAGCAAAGGAGUACUCUAGCCCUCUGUGAUAGCUGAUGGCAGCAUCUUUGGUGGCUCUCCCAGAGAGGCUGCUCUCUUUGCUGGAAUUUGCCUUGUUCUCUCCUCACUGCUGAAGCACUGUCACUGCGUCCUAAAAAAACACCACAGUAUCCGUAAGACGUUGCCUGUCAUUGGAGGUUUGCUCCUUCUCUCUAUCUCAGACAGGAUUCAAUGAAGAAAACAGAAGCCACUCAGCGCAAGAACAGACUCAUACAGGAUCACUGCAUGUGGAAUCAGGUAAGACAAGGUCAUACUGGAGUAGGAAAGGGGUUAAUCCAAUAUGACUGGUGUCCUUAAAAAAUGGGAAAUUCAUCGAGGGCAGAUUGGAUAAAGGAAAUGUUGUACAUAUACACUAUGGAAUACUUCACAGCUAUAAAAAAGGAGAAGAUUAUGUCCUUUGCAGGUACAGGAAUGGAGCUAGAGGUCAUCAUCCUUAGCAAACUAAUGCAGGAACAGAAAACCAAAUGCCACAUGUUCUCACUUAUAAGUUGAAGGUAAAUAAUGAGAACACGUGGACACAUAGAGGGGAAUAGCACACACUGGGGCCUACUUGAGGGUAGAAGGUGGGAGGAAGGAGAGGAUCAGAAAAAACGAUUGGUUACUAGGCUUACUACCUGGUUGAUGAAAUAAUCUGUACAGCAAACCCCAGUAUCAAGAGUUUACCUAUAUAACAAAACUGCACAUGUACCCCUGAACCUAAAAUAAAAGCUUUUUAUAAAAAGAAAAGAAAAAGGGCUGGGCAUGAUGGCUCACACCUGUAAUCCCAGGACUUUAGGACACCCAGGUGGGUGGACUGCUAAGCUCAGGAGUUCAAGACCAGCCUAGGCAACAUUGCGAAACCCCGUCUCUACAAAAAUUAGCCAGGCAUGGUGGCAUGUACCUGAAGUCCCAUCUACUUGCAGGGCUGAGGCCAGAGGAUCGCUUGAACCCAGGAGGUGGAGAUUGUAGUGAGUUGUAUUUGUGCCACUGCACUCCAGCCUCGUUGACAGAGCAAGGGCAAGACCUUUUCUUUAAAAAAAAAAAAAGAAAGAAAGAAAAGAAAAAGAAAAGACAAGAAAAGAAAAGAAAAGGAUAUAAUCAGCCAAAUUCAAAAUGUGUGAAAUGCUACAAGCUUCCAGGACUGUGAAACAAGACAUUUCUUUGGUUCAAGCCACUCCCUUAGUGCACAUUGUUAUGGCAGCCAUGGAAAACCAUCCACAGAGGGUCAGUUCCUAUGGAGGUGGGCCCUGGGCCCAGCUGCUGCAGGUGGCCAGGAAGGAGCCUGGGAGGAUGACGGGGUUCCUGAUCUGAUAGAACUGGGCUGUGACUAGGCAGAACCCUGUUCCACCACACACACCCCAGUGGAGGACGUUCUGUAUCUGUGAUGAAUGACCCCUGCAUACAUUAUAUCUUUCAGUAAAAACAGUGGUGUUUCAGUAGUGUUACUAGCUAAGCUGCUUAACUCUCACAUUACAGACGUCAGUGAAGCCCCUUGGUAGGUAGUGUCUAAAAUUAGAUUUAUCUGCUUAUUUACACAAUUAUACUCUCAUGAGUUUGAAUGUUGGGGAAAGAUCAAGAAAAAGACCAGAUCACUAGAUGGCAAUAGCACACAAGAGCUUUAUUUGGAUGAAGCUUGGACAGAAUGCAUGGAAGGGGAAAGUCCCUUGCAGCAGAAGACCUUCCAGAGGCAGUGGCAGGGCCACCACCAGAAGAAAAGGGCAAGGACACUCCCAGGGGAGAGGAGGAUCAGAGAGGAGGUUACAGGUCUAAGAGAUGUCACAGGUCUAGAAGAAAAGAAAAGGAGCCAGGUGCAGUGGCUCACACCUGUAAUCCCAGCACUUUGGGAGGCCCAGGCGGGCAGAUUGCUGAGUUCAGGAGUUUGAGACCAGCCUAGGCAAACAUGGUGAAACCCCAUCUCUAAAAAAAGAUUUAAAAAUUAACCAGGCCUGGUGGCAUGUACCUGAAGUCUCAUUUACUUGGGGGGCUAAGGCUGGAGGAUCGUUUGAACCCAAGAGGGUUCAUGGUGGGGAGCAUCAUGGUGAGGAGUCUCUGGGUCAGAGAGCUCCAAAGGACAGCAGCCAUUUGGGGUCUUUUGUAGCCCUGAGGUUCGUCUUACCUAUGGUGAGAGGGUGUCGGGUGUAGUUUUGCAAAUUAUCGAAGCAGGCAGGCUCUAAAUGGGCAAAUAAUAUUUGGCCUACAUUUAAAGCAAUUGGAUGUGCAAGAAUUUGAGUUUGGUGCUGGCAGGCUUGAGUUAACGGUCCUGGGCUGUGGUGUGGAAGUAAACAGCAUGGGGGCCAAUACACAGGGGCUGUCUUGAACUCGUUCAUACAAUCCAUUUAUAACCUGUUUAUAACUUGUUUAUAACCCAUUUAUACCACAUACCCCUAAAGCAAAUACCUAGCAGAUAGCAUGCAGGGCCUAUUUGCCUGGCCUCCUUCAAUGGCAUCACAUUCUCCACCACCACGAUGGUUAAUAUGGACGAGCCCUAGCAGCUGCCCAGUGAAGUCCACACGCUACUGCCCAAACCAGCUCAAGUCCUUAGUUGUCAUGAAAAUAAUGUGAGUUCCCACAGCCGUAAAAGGGAAAGCAGCAAGAGCCACAUGAGCAUCCCCGGAACCCUGGGAACAGUCAUCAGUGUCAUCUUCAGGGUCAUGUCCCUACAAGCAGUUCUCAGGCUCCUGCUGAGGGUCAGAACAGAGCCGAAGUCACAGGAUAUCAAAAAUGGAUAAGCCCAACCUCAGCUCGCAGAGGAAUUGCUCAGCUGACAGAUGAUUGUGUUAUCUCAGUGAAGCCAGAUGACAAUGUACUUGGCCAACGGAACAUCUUGGUCAAUGGAUCUCCAAGUUGGUUAUAAAAUUAAAGCAAAAUAAUGCCAUUAUAUGUAAGAUGUCAUUGAUUGUAAGAUGCUCCUUUAUUUGAUGUACCACUAAUAAAUAAAAACACUGACAUUUAAACAAUGACAAUUGCAUAACACAUCUGCUUGUUCAAUGUUAAAUAUGAAAAAAUGUGC
This 3696-nucleotide long non-coding RNA is filed under the name Homo sapiens (human). RNAcentral's name for it is "HSALNT0022651". Lineage: Eukaryota; Metazoa; Chordata; Mammalia; Primates; Hominidae. The record is from RNAcentral.